CCGUAUCUUUGCAACCAUAACUCCGAUUGAGGUGAUUCCAACGCUCACGUUCUCUGUUCGUCGAACUCUUUCCAUUGGUAUCAUUUUCAUAAUGUUUUAACACAGUGAAAAUGGCCAUUUUUCCUUGCCCGUAAACAGCCCCCUCCGGGAGAGAACUCUUUCCGCGAGCGCUCCACAUUUUUUUCCGGAGUAUUCCUCGACCCCCAGGCAAGCCAACCUCUUAUCAUGAACCCCGAACUUGUAUGUUGACUUUGCUUGCACCUUGUGUGUGUGUAGUUGCAGUUGUUUCAUAUCGUUUUCGUCUGCAGUUAUUCCAUUAUGCCUGUCAUGCAUGCUUGUGUUUUCACGAUAUCGUUUGCCAUGCUAAUUAGAAUGUUGUUAUUGAUAAUGCCAUGUCACUACUCUACUUCAUUUGCAUGUCAUCGUUAUAAAAUGUUAUGAGGAUUGUAAUGCACUGUUGAUAUGCUAUUACUUGGUAUUGUCAUGUUCUUUAUGCUAUAGUUGUGCACUUGAGAAGUUCAAUAUUUUGUUCAUGCAUUUGUAUGCUGCAUGCUCAUUGUUGCAUUCAUGUUCAUGAUGAUGGAGAAGGAAUUAAAAUGACUUAAUAAUAACAAACCUCCUCCGUCAUCGAUGGGAUCGAGUCAUAGUGCCACCAAAUCGAAUUUCAGUGCAGCCACAUUUGCCUUUAUGGGAAGGCCUUAAUGCGAUCUAUUGUCGUGCCUCUCGCCGGUGCCUCCAACUAGGGAAGGUUAUGGGCAUGCUUACCCUGAUCAGGUAGGCGGACAUAAUCUUGUGUGCCCGUUGUUAAUACCGGUCCCCGUGAGGGACGUUUUGGCCACGACAGUGGUCAUUGUGUCUUUGGUAGACAUGGGGCCACUCGGGACUAGCCCAGUUGGGAGUGGGUCGGAGUGGCCGGGAGAGUGUCAUGGCACUAGGUCGGUUUCAUCGGAAUGCCGUUGGUCCACCCGAAUGGGAUGACGAGGCCAUGGGUUCCGUGGUGUGGGUACAGUGUGCUACCUCUGCAGAGUGUAUUCAAUCUAUCGAUAGCCGCAUCCUCGGUCAUGGGCAUAAGUUCGUAGUAGGUCCCACUAUCAGGUCUUGGUCGAAAUGGAGGAUAAACCUGAAAUAAUUAAGUUGGUAAAUAAAUAUGUGAUAACGAGAAUAUGGUGACUUGGACUAUGAGAUAGUCGUGAGAAGUCACGACCAUGUUUUGAUAUAAUCACGAGACGAGGUCUCGAUGAGUGUUGGAGACCAAGUGUUGGUCAUGGUUGUGAUCGCCGGAAAGAUCAUCGUUCGGUUGCGAGGCAACCCGUUGGUAAGAGAGUCCGAGGGACUCGGUGCACAAGUUUGGUUGCAUUGCAUGAGUAAUAUGUUGCAUUUAAAAACCAAGGCAGAACAGAAGAUGGUUGCAUAAAGUUAACAUGCUAUGUCCGCAUUGGAUAUAAUCGGUAGUUUAUUUUCAGCAUAGUUUCAUGAUGCCAUGCCAUGCUUUGAUUUAUAUGUUAAAUUAUGCCAUGAUUGAGAUGAUAUGCUAUGUUUUGCUAUUACCAUGUUAUAAGCAUGUUUUGAUAUGCCAUGUCAUUGCUAUGUUAGUAGAUGCUAUGAUAUUUUGUUCAUGCUCAGUUGGCCUAUAUCAUGCCAUGUUUAGUAAUUGAUAUGAGAUAGGUUGUUGCAUACGCUUGGUUCUUGCUUUAUCUUCUGCUUGUUUGGAUGCUAUGUAUUUGGUUGUCUUGCAAGUACAUUCAAUGUACUGACCUGGCGUGUCAUGCCAGUUUUGUAGGUCGUACCCGAAUUGUUCGUUUGAUCCGUCGUGCUAGGCCGUAACCUUGCCAGUCCUGUGAGUUGUGGAGCCCAGCCAGAGUUGUUAUGCUGCCAAACCAAGACUUUCGCCGCCAUUUAAAUAGACUUCCGCUGCCAUUUAAAUAGCCUUAGGGCUAUGCCAGAUAAUUGUAUUCAUCAAUGAUGUAAGCUUAUAUACAUGUAUUUGAUGAAUAUUCUUGUACCUGGAAUGCUGUAUAUGGACCUAUCGUGCGUCAGGUGUUAUCCUGGGCUGACGUGCGAAGGCCCCCUGUUCCAUGCGGAUCGGGGUGCCACAUUAGUGUUGAGUCAAGGGCUUGAUUAUCUUGCUAUGUUCUUAUGGGAAUAAAAGAAAAAGAAAGAAUAAAAAGAAAUAAAGAGAUCAUAUUGAUCUUAUGGAGAGUAAUGACUUCACAUAGGAAGAGUAUGAUGAUUAAAAGUUGUUGAGAGUUGACAAACAUAACCUUGGUCAUCGUUGCAAUUAAUAGGAAGUAAUAAAGAAAGAGAGGUUUCACAUAUAAAUAUACUAUCUUGGACAUAUUUUAUGAUUGUGAGCACUCAUUAAAAUAUGACAUGCUAAAGAGUUGAUGUUGGACAAGGAAGACAACGUAAUGGGUUAUGUUUUCUUACAUCUGAAAUAAAGUAUAUUGUCAUGGAUCAUCCAACAUGUUGAGCUUGCCUUUCCCCCUCAUGCUAGCAAAAUUCUUUGCACCAAAUAGAGAUACUACUUGUGCUUCCAAAUACCCUUAAACCCAGUUUUGCCAUGAGAGUCCACCAUAUCUACCUAUGGAUUGAGUAAGAUCCCUCAAGUAAGUUGUCAUCGGUGCAAGCAAUAAAAAUUGAUCUCUAAAUAUGUAUGACUUAUUAGUGUGGGAGAAAAUAAGCUUUAUACGAUCUUGU
Molecule: long non-coding RNA, 2697 nt
Filed under: Triticum aestivum (bread wheat)
Lineage: Eukaryota; Viridiplantae; Streptophyta; Magnoliopsida; Poales; Poaceae
Description: long non-coding RNA (TAES_LNC013404)
Source: RNAcentral